GACAUCCUCUGACAAUCUGAGAGAUCAGACUUUCCCUUCGGGGACAGAGAGACAGGUGGUGCAUGGUUGUCGUCAGCUCGUGUCGUGAGAUGUUGGGUUAAGUCCCGCAACGAGCGCAACCCCUGUGGUUAGUUGCCAUCAUUUAGUUGGGCACUCUAAGCAGACUGCCGUGGAUAACACGGAGGAAGGUGGGGACGACGUCAAAUCAUCAUGCCCCUUAUGACCUGGGCUACACACGUGCUACAAUGGUCUGAACAGAGGGCUGCGAAACCGCGAGGUGAAGCUAAUCCCUUAAAACAGAUCUCAGUUCGGAUUGCAGGCUGCAACUCGCCUGCAUGAAGUUGGAGUUGCUAGUAAUCGCAGAUCAGAAUGCUGCGGUGAAUGCGUUCCCGGGUCUUGUACACACCGCCCGUCACACCACGAGAGUUGGCAACACCCGAAGUCAGUGAGGUAACCGCAAGGAACCAGCUGCCGAAGGUGGGGUCAGUAAUUGGGGUGAAGUCGUAACAAGGUAGCCGUAUCGGAAGGUGCGGCUGGAUCACCUCCUU
Molecule: ribosomal RNA, 548 nt
Filed under: uncultured bacterium
Lineage: Bacteria
Description: bacterial SSU rRNA
Rfam family: Bacterial small subunit ribosomal RNA
Source: RNAcentral